Small nuclear RNA from Bubalus bubalis (water buffalo), 107 nucleotides. The record is from RefSeq and is a predicted model, not a curated record. NCBI's taxonomy places the organism in Eukaryota, Metazoa, Chordata, Mammalia, Artiodactyla, Bovidae.
GUUCUUGCUUUGGCAGUGCAUUGACUAAAACUGGAAUGAUACAGAGAAGAUUAGCAUGGCCCCUGUGGAAGGAUGACAUGCAAAUUUGUGGAGUAUUUCACAUUUUU